Long non-coding RNA from Alligator mississippiensis (American alligator), 2366 nucleotides. RefSeq lists it as uncharacterized. NCBI's taxonomy places the organism in Eukaryota, Metazoa, Chordata, Crocodylia, Alligatoridae. The transcript is spliced from 2 exons. The record is from RefSeq and is a predicted model, not a curated record.
CGGGCCAGGCCCGGAAACCUUUGGCAAGCCUUCACCUGUGGGGAGUGGGUUAAGAAACUUCUCAGUGAUGGGUUUUUUUCCUGUGAGAAAAUGCAGCUCCCAACAUUUGGAGACUCUGGCCUUUUGUCCUCACUGGGGACACACGAAGCGGAGCCCCCAGGUAACUGCUGGGUGGGACAGCUGGAUUCUGUCGAGUUCUGCUGACAGAGUCUUGUUCAGGGAUUUCAAAGCCAUUGGCAACACGUAGGGGGUGCACACAGGUGCACAUACACCCCGAGGGUGGUGGUGCACCCCGACAAAAGGUGCCACAGAUAGUGUUGGCUGCCACUCGCCACCCUUCCUUGCCACCGACGCUGCCGGUGGCGUCUGCGGGCAAUCCACAAUUGCCACUGGCCGCUGCCACCAGUGUCUGCAGGUAGUUGCCGACCACUGGUUGGCACUUGCCACCCUCCUCCCCACCACCUCUGGGAGCUCACCAUGCCUCCAGGGGCAGGCAGUGUUCAUGCUUAAAGCCAUCAUGUUAAAGGUGACAGCUCAUCUUGACGUGUUCCCUUUAGCUCACUGAGUGAGUGACCAUCAGGGCGUGCUAUAACUAAUCCACAAAUAAUAGAGCAGUGCUCCCUGUGAGUUCUCCACCUGUUCUCCUGUCACAAGACCCCCCCCCCCCCCCCAGGACAUCUGUUCAUCCUUUCUCCCAACACAGGGGUGUUCAACUGGCUCUGGCCCUUGGAGCCAGGGCUUCCCAGGGGUUUGGAAAUUUGGUAGUAGUGGCAGCAUUAACUGUUGCUCCCCUGCUGCCAAAUUCCUGGGACAUGUGGGGAGCCUGCAGGCUGGAUAGUGUGGUUCUGUGUGCUAGAUCAGGUGCACAGGGCUAGGCUGGCACUGGGCACUGGAGCCUGACCUUGGCAUCAACACUGCAAGGCAUCUCGCCCACAGACCAGCUUCAGGCCACUCAUCUGACCCACAGGGCCAAAAAGUCAUCCAUCACUACCCUUGGACACUUUCACUCAUUGUCUCAGGACCAGGCUCCCUUUCUGCCCAGGCACCCGCCUGCUCAGCCUGUCUGCACCCACAUUGCUCAUGCUCACCUGCAUGCUGCUCAGUGGUAUUGGGCUAUGGUGCUGUGCCUCCUGGCUCUGCUCCAAAAUCAACUGGAAGGGAAGAGGCUGACAAGCAAGGAGCCCUCUGCCUGACUUGCCAAAUGGUUUUCCUCUUCACCCAACAUUACAUAAAGGAGCAUUCCUUUAGGGGCUGCAAGAGUCAAAGAGUCUGAGGAAAAAUUUUCUAGUCAGCAGCAGUAGUUUGGGUCAGCAUGUUAUACCCCAGCCUCCUGCUACCUGCAGUAGUCUGCCUUAAUGCUGGGCAGCAGCUGGGUAUCACCCUUUGUAGCUCAUCUUAGGGAGUACUCUAGGGAAGGGUAGCUAAAUGAGACUCAGAAUAGAAAGAGGAUGAGAGACCUUGAGAAACAGGAAGUAUGACAGGUAUUAACAGAGAAAUGAGAGCUUGAGGGGGCUGGAGUAAGGAGGGUCAUUGUGAGUUUCUGAGAAAAUGUAGGGGAAAAGGGAUAUUAGGAAAGGCACUGCGAGGUGGGGACACCUUGGAGUGGUACCUGGAAAGCAGAUAUCUAGGGAAGCAGAAAGACCAGCAAGAAUUGGCUGGGGGACUUUCAAGAAAUACAGGAUUAGAGAAUUGGAGGCUUGAUAGAGAAAAGUGCAAAGGAAAACAGAAGAAAACAGGUCUGGCAGAGACCAGGGAGAUUGUGGGGCUUUAGGGAAACUGGUGCUUACGGCAGGGAAGAUGCAGGUUUUGUGGGGAAAAGAAACAGUGGGUUAUGGAAGAAUUUUGAGGAUACACAUCAAAUUACGUUACCAAGGACGUUAGUUUCUCCUGAAAGAUCAAUCGUAUUGAUAUUCUGGAGAAAGAGGGUGAGCCUAUAGACACAAUGAGAACUGGUAUCCCAAAAGGUAGUCCAGGUCCAAACAAGCAGGCUACCACGUUCCAUCUACAUAAAGUGGGAGGCACUAAGUCACAUCACCAGUCUCUUAAAGCCCAGCAGGUGUGGCAGGGCUGUCCCAGAAAACUACUAGUUACCUCCUCAACAGGGAAGAGUUGUAUCACAGACAGAGCUGAUUUGAGACAGACCCUUACAAGUAAAUCCUGGGCUAGGAAGUAGCUGAAUUUUCCUUCCGCAGAGGGCAUUAGAGAUGGACCUCUGCCAUUCAUCCUAACAAGCUACUGCUGGUCAUUGCUACAUUAAAAAUGCUUCCCACCACAAUCUGAAGAUCUAAGCUGUUGGAGUGGGAAUCCCACCAAUGAAAGAGCAGAGACCUCCCCCCAAUAAAAACAACAGAGAUGCUUAUUUUAAA